Molecule: long non-coding RNA, 824 nt
Organism: Zingiber officinale
Lineage: Eukaryota; Viridiplantae; Streptophyta; Magnoliopsida; Zingiberales; Zingiberaceae
Exons: 4
Source: RefSeq, a predicted model, not a curated record
UCCAGGUAAAAGAUAAUAUUAUCAGCAGGAGCUGCCAAAGUUGUACUGUAGUUUUUUCCUUGCAGUCCUUUUCCUUUUGUAACCUUAGCGCCAGAUCCCUUGGCAGAUUAAUUCUCAGGGAUGGCAUCACUGUGACUCACUUAAUUAUCUUGUGAAGUUGCAUCUUUAGAUAUAUAUUUUCGGAAGAUGGUUGUGCUGCUGCAUCUUUAGAUAUAUAUUUUCGGAAGAUGGUUGUGCUGCUGCUGUUAUGGAGCCAAAUAUGGGCGCAAAUUGUCUCUCUGUUCAGCAUGUAUUCCAGCCGUCAAAUGGCCUCUUGCUGUCUGUAUACCUGCUUUUUGGUUGCCACAGGUAUUGUGGCAGAGGGCUUUAUUGUCGCAAGGGGGAGCCUCGCAUGGAUCUUGUGUUUAUCUAUUCUCCCAUCAUUCUGCUGCUAUGGAUGGACAAACAUAUGGUCUGGUAGAGGCCCACUGGGACAUAAAGACUGUUAGUUGUACAUCUCUGUCUGUCAAGGUGAUGAGGCCAUCUGAAUCUGCUGCGUUGUCCCUAUGCCGGUUAUAGCAGAGACAUGUGAUGGACAUGUGAUCGGAGGGAUACGUGGCUGCUCAGGGAGGCCAAGCAUCUUUGCCCAUGUAUAUCUCGGCCUCAUUCAAUGUUGUCAAUGGAUAAUCAUCCCGUCGGCCGGGCUAAGAUUCUGGCCAGAUCCGGUUCAAACAUGCUAAAGGUUAAAUAUUAUCUAAGAGAGCAUUCACAAUUAACCUACUGGCACGUACUGGUACGAUAUUAUCAUAAUUAUGCAGGACCCCAAGAUAGUUGAUCACUGAUGC